This 492-nucleotide ribosomal RNA is filed under the name uncultured bacterium. Its description in RNAcentral is "partial 16S ribosomal RNA". It matches the Rfam family "Bacterial small subunit ribosomal RNA", at positions 29 to 507 of the family's 1533-position model. The record is from RNAcentral.
AGUGAACGCUGGCGGUAGGCCUAACACAUGCAAGUCGAACGGCAGCACAGUAAGAGCUUGCUCUUACGGGUGGCGAGUGGCGGACGGGUGAGGAAUACAUCGGAAUCUACUUUUUCGUGGGGGAUAACGUAGGGAAACUUACGCUAAUACCGCAUACGACCUACGGGUGAAAGCAGGGGAUCUUCGGACCUUGCGCGAUUGAAUGAGCCGAUGUCGGAUUAGCUAGUUGGCGGGGUAAAGGCCCACCAAGGCGACGAUCCGUAGCCGGUCUGAGAGGAUGAUCAGCCACACUGGAACUGAGACACGGUCCAGACUCCUACGGGAGGCAGCAGUGGGGAAUAUUGGACAAUGGGCGCAAGCCUGAUCCAGCCAUACCGCGUGGGUGAAGAAGGCCUUCGGGUUGUAAAGCCCUUUUGUUGGGAAAGAAAAGCAGCAGGUUAAUACCCCGCUGUUCUGACGGUACCCAAAGAAUAAGCACCGGCUGACUUCGUG